GAACGCUGGCGGCGUGCCUAAUACAUGCAAGUCGAGCGCGGGAAGCGAGUGGAUCCCUUCGGGGUGAAGCUCGUGGAACGAGCGGCGGACGGGUGAGUAACACGUGGGCAACCUACCUGUAAGAUCGGAAUAACCCCGGGAAACCGGGGCUAAUGCCGGGUAAUACUUUUCUUCGCAUGAAGGAAAGUUGAAAGAUGGCUUCUUGCUAUCACUUACAGAUGGGCCCGCGGCGCAUUAGCUAGUUGGUGAGGUAACGGCUCACCAAGGCGACGAUGCGUAGCCGACCUGAGAGGGUGAUCGGCCACACUGGGACUGAGACACGGCCCAGACUCCUACGGGAGGCAGCAGUAGGGAAUCUUCCGCAAUGGACGAAAGUCUGACGGAGCAACGCCGCGUGAACGAUGAAGGUCUUCGGAUCGUAAAGUUCUGUUGUUAGGGAAGAACAAGUACCGNGCGAAUAGAGCGGUACCUUGACGGUACCUAACGAGGAAGCCCCGGCUAACUACGUGCCAGCAGCCGCGGUAAUACGUAGGGGGCAAGCGUUGUCCGGAAUUAUUGGGCGUAAAGCGCGCGCAGGCGGUUCUUUAAGUCUGAUGUGAA
Molecule: ribosomal RNA, 600 nt
Filed under: Halobacillus sp. YIM C274
Lineage: Bacteria; Bacillati; Bacillota; Bacilli; Caryophanales; Bacillaceae
Description: bacterial SSU rRNA
Rfam family: Bacterial small subunit ribosomal RNA
Source: RNAcentral